GGCCUUGUGGUGUAUUACAUAUUAGAUUGCAAACCUAAAGUCGUAGAUUAGAGUCUGCCUGGGCUU
RNAcentral lists this transfer RNA (66 nucleotides) under Rasbora borapetensis (blackline rasbora). Its description in RNAcentral is "tRNA-Cys". It matches the Rfam family "tRNA". Rfam says of the family: Transfer RNA (tRNA) molecules are approximately 80 nucleotides in length. The record is from RNAcentral. Lineage: Eukaryota; Metazoa; Chordata; Actinopteri; Cypriniformes; Danionidae.